AGGACGAACGCUGGCGGCGUGCUUAACACAUGCAAGUCGAGCGGAAAGGCCCUUCGGGGUACUCGAGCGGCGAACGGGUGAGUAACACGUGAGUAAUCUGCCCCUAGCUCUGGGAUAGCUCCGGGAAACCGGGAUUAAUACCGGAUACGACCACUUUAGACAUCUGUUGUGGCGGAAAGAAUUUUGGCUAGGGAUGAGCUCGCGGCCUAUCAGCUUGUUGGUGGGGUAACGGCCUACCAAGGCGACGACGGGUA
Molecule: ribosomal RNA, 254 nt
Filed under: uncultured bacterium
Lineage: Bacteria
Description: partial small subunit ribosomal RNA
Rfam family: Bacterial small subunit ribosomal RNA
Source: RNAcentral